RNAcentral lists this transfer RNA (77 nucleotides) under Candidatus Collierbacteria bacterium RIFOXYB1_FULL_49_13. RNAcentral's name for it is "tRNA-Asp". It matches the Rfam family "tRNA". Rfam says of the family: Transfer RNA (tRNA) molecules are approximately 80 nucleotides in length. Their secondary structure includes four short double-helical elements and three loops (D, anti-codon, and T loops). The record is from RNAcentral. Lineage: Bacteria; Candidatus Collieribacteriota.
GGGGUUGUAGCUCAGCUGGUUAGAGCGCUUGCCUGUCACGCAGGAGGUCGCGGGUUCGAGCCCCGUCAAUCCCGCAA